UGGGGCAAACACAGGCUGCUCCAGCUGCCCCUUCUGCUGCUCCAGGUCCUUCAGCUGCCCCUCCUGCUGCUCCAGAUGUUUUAGUUGUCCGUCCUGCUGCUCUGGGUGCUCUAGGUGCUUUGGCUGUCCUACCUGCUGCUCUGGGAGCUCCAGCUGUGCCUCCUGCUUCUCCAGGUGCUUCACCUGGCCCUCUUGCUGCUCUGGGAGCUCCAGUUGCUUCUCCUCCUGCUCCAGGUUCUUUGGCUGCCCCACCUGCUGCUCUGGGACCUCCAACUGCCCCUGCUGCUGCUCCAGAUGCUUCAGUUGUCCCUCCUGCUCCUCUAGGUGCUUCAGCUGCCCCUCCUCCUCCUCCAGGUGCUUUGGCUGCCCCUGCUGCUUCUCUAGCUGCUUCAGCUGCAGCACCUGCUGCUCUGGGAGCCCCAGCUGCCCUUCCUGGUGCUCCAGGUGCUUCAGCUGUCCCUCCUGCUGCUCAGAGAGCUCCAGCUGCCCCUCCUGCUGCUCAGAGAGCUCCAGCUGCCCCUCCUGCUGCU
Molecule: long non-coding RNA, 530 nt
Filed under: Homo sapiens (human)
Lineage: Eukaryota; Metazoa; Chordata; Mammalia; Primates; Hominidae
Description: HSALNT0015327
Source: RNAcentral